RNAcentral lists this ribosomal RNA (253 nucleotides) under uncultured bacterium. RNAcentral describes it as "partial 16S ribosomal RNA". It matches the Rfam family "Bacterial small subunit ribosomal RNA", at positions 524 to 776 of the family's 1533-position model. The record is from RNAcentral.
UACAGAGGGCUCAAGCGUUGUUCGGAUUCAUUGGGCGUAAAGGGUGCGUAGGCGGCGCGGUAAGUCGGGUGUGAAAUCUCGGAGCUUAACUCCGAAACUGCAUUCGAUACUGGCGUGCUUGAGGACUGGAGAGGAGACUGGAAUUCAUGGUGUAGCAGUGAAAUGCGUAGAGAUCAUGAGGAAGACCAGUGGCGAAGGCGGGUCUCUGGACAGUUCCUGACACUGAGACACGAAGGCCAGGGGAGCAAACGGG